Hemibagrus wyckioides is the source of this 2717-nucleotide long non-coding RNA. RefSeq lists it as uncharacterized. The transcript has 4 exons. The record is from RefSeq and is a predicted model, not a curated record. Lineage: Eukaryota; Metazoa; Chordata; Actinopteri; Siluriformes; Bagridae.
CACAUUUUGUUGCUGAGUUUCUGCUUUCAGUUCCUCUGAAACAGAAUGGUGUGUGCUGAGUUACAGUGAUGGGCUGAAUUUUUCCACACUUCCUCCUAAAGGUCUCAGUCAACAAAACAGGAAGCACAUGACUCACAUGACUGGAGCAGAGGACACAGCACAUAGUUACAGCCUGCACGAGGACGUGACUUAACAGCAACUGGAUUAAACUGAACAUAGUAAACAAAGCAAACUGGAAAUAACUCGCAAUACCAUUACUGCCUUUAUAGUUUUUAAUAGCUGGGGUUUUUUUUUCCUGAGAAAAUAAAUGGUUCACAGCUUCAUGAAAAAUAUGAGUAAAAAAAAAAAGACUUCAUUAAAAGAUGAGUAAGCUGUCUGAGAAAAGCCUAUAGGCAAUAAUGGCAAAGGAAAAACUCGAUGAGAUGACACGAGCAAGAAACCCUGAGAAGAAUCCAUCCGCUUCUAGAUGACACAGGAUUGUGGGAUACAUCAUUAGGCUAUUCUUCAACAAAUGAGGAUUGUUUAAAACAUCCAAAUCUAAUUCCAAUCUUGGAAUUUAUUAUUACCUUACAAAUUGAAAUGUCCAAGUCUACAGUAUCAUCAAGAGGCAGCAGGGUGACGCAGCAGAUAUCAUCGCAGUCUCCUGGGUCUCCGGUUCAAUCCCAGGCUCGGGUUGCUCUCUGUGAAGAGUUUCUAUGUAUGUUCUUCCUGUGUCUGUGUUUGUUUCCUCUCAUCUCCAAAAGAACAUGCUAUAGGACGUGCUAUAGGUUAUGCUACACUGUACUAGUUGUGAAUGAGUGUGUAAAUAUGUGUGUAUGGUGCCCUGUGAUGCACUGGUGUCCCCUCUAUGGUGAAUUUCCAGCUGGAAUAGGAGCCUGACCAGGAUAAAUUUGAAGAUGAAAUAAGUAAGGUUCAGCAAUGCCGGCUACAGAAGAUGUUAAUAGCCAUCUAUAAUCUAAAAUUGAAUGUACAAAGAUAACAACAUAUGCGAUUCACAUUCAGAAUUCAUAAACAUUUGCAAACAAACGUUUGAACAAAAGCAGAGAUCAGACUCUGAUAGGUUUCCUUAAAGUUAUAGCUUCGCCUUUAAUUUACCUGCAGUGAACGUUGGCCUAGGAUUUCACAAUUAAGCUGAAUCCACCCUUGAGAUAACAGAAGCUGAAUGACUGUUUGAACAGCCAGACUGAGGUAGCUGUUAAUUUCCCACCAUGCUCUGGCUAUUUCAGAUUCUUGUACAUUAUUCAUUUAUUUAUUUUUUAUUUUUUUGGAAGGUUAAAGCCAUUGUCAAAUUAUUUUCCUAAUUAGAAAGUAAAUUGAUAAGUCGUCAACUUUCUGUCAGCUACUCAGGUAUGAACACUUUUUUUUUCUGAUGAUUCAUCAUAAAGUUAGCCCUUGAGUUAUGUAAAUGGGUUUGCAGCCUGGAGGUGUGGACUGCAUGCCCUUAUGAGCCAUGAUGCUUACUGCCUGAUAUCACUCAUGUUAAAUUCACCAAAUAAAUGGAAAUCACAAUGUUUCCAACUACUACAAAAAGCUGGCAGUCAGUAUUUUAUUCUGUAAUCUUUUUUUAUAUAUAUAUAAAACUUUAUAAAUCGAAUAAAUAUGCAGUCUGUGUUUCUGACCUCAGAAACAUGACUGCUAGCAUAAUCGUCCCGAUUGUAUAACUUUUUGUUAAUAAUAUUCAACAGGCUUUUAAAAAUGGCAUUGAAUCUUUUUAGGAGGGCUGUAGUGAGCAGUAUUAAAAUGAACAUCGCCUUUUACACUUUUGAGACUCUGUGUUUCUUUGUAGCUGCAUGCAAUGCCUCUUUGCUAAUUUGAUAGAGGUAUUAUGAAUUCAUAACAAAAUCUGUUAUGAAUAUUUGUGUCUAAAAAGGUGAAAACAUAAAUAACACAGAGUGUCCAUAGAGUGUAAUAUUUAUCAUUUAUCUAAACAUCAAAAAGAUGAUUUAUAUAUUUUUGCCUCUCAUUACUGAUAUCAGUAGUAAUGUUUUCAGCAACGAUCAUGGUUUCUUUAUGGUAGCAAUUAACAAGGAAUAGAAACAUUAUGAAAAUGAUUCACUGAUUUGUUAUGCUUUAUUGCAGCAGUAUAAAAGUGUCAGGAAUAGUGUCUGAAAUCAUGUGAAGGUACGAUGUUGCAUUUAAAAGAAUUAUAUACCUGACCACAUCCUGCUCCUCAUGAUCCUUUUGCCACGUUCAGAACAUUCUCCAGCUUAAUGUGAUCAUUCCCUCUUUAAGAUUGCAUGUCACUGAGUCAGUGAAGUUGUCUGCAUAUUUUUAAAUAAUUUCUCAUUAUUUCUUGGAAAUGGGAACAUUUUUAAUCAGGUCAUACAAAUUUUAUUACAUUGCACAUUUCAUGACUUCAUCAAACUAAUUGAGUCCUUUAAUUCUUUUUCUAAUAGUCUACAUGAUAAAAACCUGUCCCUGAAUUUUGGCACAUGCAGGAAGCAGCCAUCUAUCUUCCCAGCAGUAUCUUCACUCUGUUGACAAUGAAAAUGAAGACUGUACCAUUAGAUUUAAACUUCUGGAGUAGAGAAAUGAAUUAGGAAGAAUUGGCAAUUUUUUUUCUCUCCAUCAUCUGACUUUUAAAUUCAGCAGUGUUUCAGCACUGAGAAAACCAUCUCAGCCCUCAGCUAACGGCUUAUGCCGAGUGAUUGCCUACUGAUUAUGGGACUAUUUAAACAUUGUUAGCUGGUAUCUAUCAUUAGUUUAGUACAGAAAAC